CGGCAUUUAUUCUCAGUUUAUCCCAUGAAAUAUACAAGAUGAAGAGGACAUGGGCAGCAGUAAUCACGAAAAGGACAAUGGUACAGUUGACGGAGGCAAGUGAUGAAGCCGCGAUACCUAAGGGAGCCGAAACACAAUUUUGAUCUCUGAAAUCAAUUUUGAUCUAGCUAGGAUGGCUGAUUUCGAUCCGGGCAUCCAUGCCCAUGUUGUGAACUGCCUCCAAUUAAUUCUGCCUACACACGCUACAUGUUCGCAUCACGCAGAUCUGUGCAUCCGCGCAUCAGCGGCCUAGCAUAUGUCGGACUGUUGGAUGCGGGACUUACCUGUGCUCUAAAGUAGUCUGGCUUAUCGCAGGUAACAGAAGCGAUUGACCUUCCUCUUUCCAAUCAGAUUUUUGGUGUGAUCAGUAGAUGUAUGAAGGAAAUCAACAAUUUAAAGUCCAACACCACUUUCAUCGAUCAAGGUUUUAAUAGGGAGCUCAGCAGCUUAUGAAACAACCUCCGCUCUAAUCUCAUGGCUUCACUCUGGAUAUGAUAUUUCUUGUUCUCAAAGAGUAUUUUAAAUAUAUAGAGAUGGCUCAUUUCUAUAUAGAUUUAUGUGGUUAUUGUUUGAUGUGAUGUGACAAGAAACUGAAGCUGUAACUGUUUUUCAGUCUGCAAAAUACUAUUACUUGUGUUGUUAAA
This is a long non-coding RNA of Lolium perenne, 683 nucleotides long. RefSeq lists it as uncharacterized. The record is from RefSeq and is a predicted model, not a curated record. Lineage: Eukaryota; Viridiplantae; Streptophyta; Magnoliopsida; Poales; Poaceae.